This 1727-nucleotide long non-coding RNA is filed under the name Phoenix dactylifera (date palm). Its description in RNAcentral is "long non-coding RNA (PDAC_LNC011588)". Lineage: Eukaryota; Viridiplantae; Streptophyta; Magnoliopsida; Arecales; Arecaceae. The record is from RNAcentral.
CUGUUUCACAUACAUCCCGUUCGUGAGUUCCUCCCAGAACAGCCGUGAUCCAAUCCCUUCCGCGUUCGGAUCAAGCAACCAGUUCUUCUCCCCUGUUCCACGUCACCUCCCAGCUUCCUCAACCUCAUCCUGGAUUUUUCCAGCCAUCCGGUGUGUCCUAACUUCCGAAUCCAACUCCUCCACGUCCUUCCCGAGCUCAUCCUCCCAAGGAGUAGAGUCAUCAUCCCAUCCAGAUUCAUCCCAGCAUCAACCUCCCGAGUCAACCCCAACGGUUUUCUCCUUAUCCUCAUGCGAUUCACCAUCCCCCGUGUCCACCGAAUUUCCCAGCUCAUGGUUCAUCAUCUUCUUCCCAACGAUAGGAUCAGCUUCAUCCACAAGCAAAUCUUCCGGCAUCCCAGAUCUCCCAGCUCUCAUCUCGUCCGUGAUCCACCUUCAUCCCAAUCCGGAUUUCUUCUCAACCACAUCAAGCUAACAACAACAUCCUCAUCCUCUUCUCCGAAUAACAUCCAAGAUUUAUCCUAGCUCCCCUGUUCCGAGCUAAAAGAAAUCAAACAUUCAAACCCAGCCGGUGAGCAUCUCUUCCUUAUCCAAAAUCCCCUGCAUUCUAGAGUUCAUCUUCUCCAAAAAUCAAGUAUCCUAUGAGCUAUAUCCUCCCAUUUGGAUUUAUUCCAUCGACCACGGAAGAAUCCCCUGUUCCGCGUGUCUUUCCUCCCUUCUGAAUCCAAGGAACAGAGUCUCCCCAUGCAUCAAGUCCCUUUUAUUCCGUGGUUCAUCUUCAUCCUCUCGCUCCCGCGUCUUCCGAGUUCCCUAGCCGUGAGCAUGUCCGUUACUUCUUCAACUUCCCUUCACGAAAGCAAAACAGAGCAAUUUCCUUUCCUCCCGCAUCCACAAAUCUCGUCUUCUGCAGCAAUGCGAUCAAGUUUAUCUUCCCAAAUUUCACGGAAGCAUCCCUUCCACGCGGACUCAGCUCUUCGUCCGGCAGCCACACGCGAUUCACUUCAAACCGCGAAGGAUUCUGCGCAUCCCAGCAAUCUCCUCCUCCCAGCCGGAUUAAAGUUUAUCCCGUGAUCCUCUUCUUCCGAAUUCGUUUCAUUCCGCGACCCAUCCCGCUGCCAGCCAUGAUAGCAACUCGAACAAAUCUCAGCCAAGUCCCAGCAUUUCGGAUCAACUCCCCUAUUCAGCCUCCAUCCUUAUCCCAUCGUCAAAGGAUCACAGAGCAUCUGCCUUAUCCCGCAGCCAUCGAUCCUUAUCCUGCACUCGGAAGGAGAAGCUAGGGGGAGUUGGUAGCCGUUGAUCCAUCUUUAUCUCGACUUGGAUAGAGGAGCGAGAGGGAGUUGCAGCCUACAAAAGGCCCAGCGUGAACCGAGAAGAUAAUUCCUCCUUUUCCCAUCGGGAGAAGAAGAAGCAUCUCUUCUCAGGUGACUUCCCACAAAGUGCAGGAGGGAGAGAAUACUUUGGGUAUUUUUUGGGAAUGACUUCUCAAAAGAAAAAAAUAAUGAAUUGCUAGAUAAGGGAGAAGAGACCCAGGGAAGGGAGGGAGAAAAGAAGAAAUGGGAGCCCGCUGCUGUGCCAUUGCUGCUGUCGCCCAUGACUCUAUGGAAGGCUGAUCUCCUCUCUAGGGCCGGAUGCAGCCCUAACAAAGGGCCAAGGAUUUUGUAUUUUUGAUUUCUAUUAUUGGAGUUGUAUAAACUUUAUUUUGCUCCUAAUGAAUAUUUUAUUUCAUCUCA